RNAcentral lists this ribosomal RNA (222 nucleotides) under uncultured bacterium. RNAcentral describes it as "partial 16S ribosomal RNA". It matches the Rfam family "Bacterial small subunit ribosomal RNA", at positions 128 to 334 of the family's 1533-position model. The record is from RNAcentral.
GCCCUUCAGAGGGGGACAACAGUUGGAAACGACUGCUAAUACCGCAUACGAUCCAAUCUCGGCAUCGAGGAUGGAUGAAAGGUGGCCUCUAUUUAUAAGCUAUCACUGAAGGAGGGGAUUGCGUCUGAUUAGCUAGUUGGAGGGGUAACGGCCCACCAAGGCAAUGAUCAGUAGCCGGUCUGAGAGGAUGAACGGCCACAUUGGGACUGAGACACGGCCCAG